RNAcentral lists this ribosomal RNA (253 nucleotides) under uncultured bacterium. Its description in RNAcentral is "partial 16S ribosomal RNA". It matches the Rfam family "Bacterial small subunit ribosomal RNA", at positions 524 to 776 of the family's 1533-position model. The record is from RNAcentral.
UACGUAGGGUGCAAGCGUUAAUCGGAAUACUGGGCGUAAAGCGUGCGCAGGCGGUUAUGUAAAGACAGUUGUGAAAUCCCCGGGCUCAACCUGGGAAUUGCAUCUGUGACUGCAUAGCUAGAGUACGGUAGAGGGGGAUGGAAUUCCGCGUGUAGCAGUGAAAUGCGUAGAUAUGCGGAGGAACACCGAUGGCGAAGGCAAUCCCCUGGACCUGUACUGACGCUCAUGCACGAAAGCGUGGGGAGCAAACAGG